RNAcentral lists this ribosomal RNA (496 nucleotides) under uncultured bacterium. RNAcentral describes it as "partial 16S ribosomal RNA". It matches the Rfam family "Bacterial small subunit ribosomal RNA", at positions 28 to 507 of the family's 1533-position model. The record is from RNAcentral.
GAUGAACGCUGGCGGCGUGCCUAAUACAUGCAAGUCGAGCGAACAGACGAGGAGCUUGCUCCUCUGACGUUAGCGGCGGACGGGUGAGUAACACGUGGAUAACCUACCUAUAAGACUGGGAUAACUUCGGGAAACCGGAGCUAAUACCGGAUAAUAUAUUGAACCGCAUGGUUCAAUAGUGAAAGACGGUUUUGCUGUCACUAUUAAUGGAUCCGCGCCGCAUUAGCUAGUUGGUAAGGUAACGGCUUACCAAGGCAACGAUGCGUAGCCGACCUGAGAGGGUGAUCGGCCACACUGGAACUGAGACACGGUCCAGACUCCUACGGGAGGCAGCAGUAGGGAAUCUUCCGCAAUGGGCGAAAGCCUGACGGAGCAACGCCGCGUGAGUGAUGAAGGUCUUCGGAUCGUAAAACUCUGUUAUUAGGGAAGAACAAAUGUGUAAGUAACUAUGCACGUCUUGACGGUACCUAAUCAGAAAGCCACGGCUAACUACGUG